CCUACGGGUGGCUGCAGUGGGGAAUAUUGGACAAUGGGCGAAAGCCUGAUCCGGCCAUGCCGCGUGUGUGAAGAAGGCCUUCGGGUUGUAAAGCACUUUCAGUGGGGAAGAAAGCCUUGGGGCUAAUACCCUCGAGGAAGGACAUCACCCACAGAAGAAGCACCGGCUAACUCCGUGCCAGCAGCCGCGGUAAUACGGAGGGUGCGAGCGUUAAUCGGAAUUACUGGGCGUAAAGCGCGCGUAGGCGGUCUGAUAAGCCGGUUGUGAAAGCCCCGGGCUCAACCUGGGAACGGCAUCCGGAACUGUCAGGCUAGAGUGCAGGAGAGGAAGGUAGAAUUCCCGGUGUAGCGGUGAAAUGCGUAGAGAUCGGGAGGAAUACCAGUGGCGAAGGCGGCCUUCUGGACUGACACUGACGCUGAGGUGCGAAAGCGUGGGUAGCAAACAGGAUUAGAUACCCGAGUAGUC
This 465-nucleotide ribosomal RNA is filed under the name Vreelandella stevensii. Its description in RNAcentral is "partial 16S ribosomal RNA". It matches the Rfam family "Bacterial small subunit ribosomal RNA", at positions 338 to 795 of the family's 1533-position model. Lineage: Bacteria; Pseudomonadati; Pseudomonadota; Gammaproteobacteria; Oceanospirillales; Halomonadaceae. The record is from RNAcentral.